UGGGGAAUUUUGGACAAUGGGCGAAAGCCUGAUCCAGCAAUGCCGCGUGUGUGAAGAAGGCCUUCGGGUUGUAAAGCACUUUUGUCCGGAAAGAAAUCCUUGGCUCUAAUACAGUCGGGGGAUGACGGUACCGGAAGAAUAAGCACCGGCUAACUACGUGCCAGCAGCCGCGGUAAUACGUAGGGUGCAAGCGUUAAUCGGAAUUACUGGGCGUAAAGCGUGCGCAGGCGGUUUGCUAAGACCGAUGUGAAAUCCCCGGGCUCAACCUGGGAACUGCAUUGGUGACUGGCAGGCUAGAGUAUGGCAGAGGGGGGUAGAAUUCCACGUGUAGCAGUGAAUGCGUAGAGAUGUGGAGGAAUACCGAUGGCGAAGGCAGCCCCCUGGGCCAAUACUGACGCUCAUGCACGAAAGCGUGGGGAGCAAACAGGAUUAGAUACCCUGGUAGUCCACGCCCUAAACGAUGUCAACUAGUUGUUGGGGAUUCAUUUCCUAGUAACGUAGCUAACGCGUGAAGUUGACCGCCUGGGGAGUACGGUCGCAAGAUUAAACUCAAAGGAAUUGACGGGGUCAUA
This 572-nucleotide ribosomal RNA is filed under the name uncultured bacterium. Its description in RNAcentral is "partial 16S ribosomal RNA". It matches the Rfam family "Bacterial small subunit ribosomal RNA", at positions 355 to 923 of the family's 1533-position model. The record is from RNAcentral.